This 253-nucleotide ribosomal RNA is filed under the name uncultured bacterium. RNAcentral describes it as "partial 16S ribosomal RNA". It matches the Rfam family "Bacterial small subunit ribosomal RNA", at positions 524 to 776 of the family's 1533-position model. The record is from RNAcentral.
UACGUAGGGUGCGAGCGUUGUCCGGAUUUAUUGGGCGUAAAGAGCUCGUAGGCGGCUUGUCGCGUCGUUCGUGAAAACCUGCAGCUCAACUGCAGGCUUGCGGUCGAUACGGGCAGGCUAGAGUUCGGUAGGGGAGACUGGAAUUCCUGGUGUAGCGGUGAAAUGCGCAGAUAUCAGGAAGAACACCCGUGGCGAAGGCGGCUCUCUGGGACGGUACUGACGCUGAGACGCGAAAGCGUGGGGAGCGAACAGG